GCUGAGUGGAUGGGUCUGCAGACAGGGCAGAUCUCAUCUCCUGGAAACAGAAUGGAUUUUAAAGAAAAUGCCUCAAUUUUCUACUCUCUCAGACUCAGCUCAGACAGGGAAUGGUUUUGUUCCGCCAACCAUGGUGAGCGAUAGAGACAGAAGCCUGAAACAGGAGGGGAACAUUCAGCAAAGACAAAUGUUCCAUAUUUUGAACAGAAGAAGUGGAUUCCUCAGUCUGAGGGGAAAGAAAAGCCAUCUAAUGGUUGCAGGAAAAUCAAAUAUCAAAUCAAGUGAUGCUGUCAUAUCUUCAUGAGGCUCAGAGGAACAGCUGGAACCAAGAGGCAGACUAACCUGCAUUCAUCAAGAUCUUCAGUGAGAAACUGGAGAGAAAUACACUGAAACUUCUACUCCCUCUUUCUUUACCACUCUGAAUACUUCUGUGUUUUGUAUUACUCUGCUUCUAGCAGUGCAGGAGAUAGACCAUAGAAUGAUUUGUACCAGCCGGACGGUUUUCUUUUCCCUCUUGGCAGGAGCCAGGACAGCAUCAAGAGUAGGCGCAAGAUAAUUUUCUUUUUUUUGCUUGUUACUGUUUA
Grus americana (Whooping crane) is the source of this 584-nucleotide long non-coding RNA. RefSeq lists it as uncharacterized. The record is from RefSeq and is a predicted model, not a curated record. The transcript is spliced from 3 exons. Lineage: Eukaryota; Metazoa; Chordata; Aves; Gruiformes; Gruidae.